Unclassified non-coding RNA from Gorilla gorilla gorilla (western lowland gorilla), 111 nucleotides. It matches the Rfam family "Y RNA". Rfam says of the family: Y RNAs are components of the Ro ribonucleoprotein particle (Ro RNP), in association with Ro60 and La proteins. The Y RNAs and Ro60 and La proteins are well conserved, but the function of the Ro RNP is not known. The record is from Ensembl. NCBI's taxonomy places the organism in Eukaryota, Metazoa, Chordata, Mammalia, Primates, Hominidae.
GGCUGAUCUGAAGGUAGUGAAUUAUCUCAAUUGACUUCACAGUCAGUUACAGAUCGAACUCCUUGUUCUACUCUUUUCCCCCUUCUCACUACUGCCCUUGACUAGUCUUUU